RNAcentral lists this unclassified non-coding RNA (237 nucleotides) under Epithamnolia sp. Its description in RNAcentral is "partial contains 5.8S ribosomal RNA, internal transcribed spacer 2, and large subunit ribosomal RNA". The stretch from base 1 to 52 matches the Rfam family "5.8S ribosomal RNA", at positions 103 to 154 of the family's 154-position model. The record is from RNAcentral. Lineage: Eukaryota; Fungi; Ascomycota; Leotiomycetes; Phacidiales.
AACGCACAUUGCGCUCCCUGGUAUUCCGGGGAGCAUGCCUGUUCGAGCGUCAUUAUCAACCAUCAAGCACUGCUUGGCAUUGGGCGCCGUCCUCAUGGGACGAGCCCUAAAGGCUUCGGCGAUGGUGUUGAAUCCAAGCGUAGUAAUAUACAGCUUCUAGGUUCGGCGUCGUUUAGCCUCGAGAAACAUACACAUAAGGUUGACCUCGGAUCAGGUAGGGAUACCCGCUGAACUUAA